RNAcentral lists this ribosomal RNA (253 nucleotides) under uncultured bacterium. RNAcentral describes it as "partial 16S ribosomal RNA". It matches the Rfam family "Bacterial small subunit ribosomal RNA", at positions 524 to 776 of the family's 1533-position model. The record is from RNAcentral.
UACGGAGGAUCCAAGCGUUAUCCGGAUUUAUUGGGUUUAAAGGGUGCGUAGGCGGGAAAAUAAGUCAGCGGUGAAAGUUUGCAGCUCAACUGUAAAAUUGCCAUUGAAACUGUUUUUCUUGAGUGCAAAUGAGGUAGGCGGAAUGUGUUGUGUAGCGGUGAAAUGCUUAGAUAUAACACAGAACUCCGAUUGCGAAGGCAGCUUACUGGGAUGCAACUGACGCUGAGGCACGAAAGCGUGGGGAUCAAACAGG